ACUCUACGGGAGGCAGCAGUGGGGAAUUUUGGACAAUGGGCGAAAGCCUGAUCCAGCAAUGCCGCGUGUGCGAAGAAGGCCUUCGGGUUGUAAAGCACUUUUGUCAGGGAAGAAAUCUUUCGGGCUAAUACCCCUGGAAGGAUGACGGUACCUGAAGAAUAAGCACCGGCUAACUACGUGCCAGCAGCCGCGGUAAUAC
RNAcentral lists this ribosomal RNA (199 nucleotides) under uncultured bacterium. RNAcentral's name for it is "partial 16S ribosomal RNA". It matches the Rfam family "Bacterial small subunit ribosomal RNA", at positions 335 to 526 of the family's 1533-position model. The record is from RNAcentral.